Molecule: ribosomal RNA, 447 nt
Filed under: uncultured bacterium
Lineage: Bacteria
Description: bacterial SSU rRNA
Rfam family: Bacterial small subunit ribosomal RNA
Source: RNAcentral
CGCUGGCGGCGUGCUUAACACAUGCAAGUCGAACGAUGAACCACUUCGGUGGGGAUUAGUGGCGAACGGGUGAGUAACACGUGGGCAAUCUGCCCUUCACUCUGGGACAAGCCCUGGAAACGGGGUCUAAUACCGGAUACCACUACUACAGGCAUCUGUGGUGGUUGAAAGCUCCGGCGGUGAAGGAUGAGCCCGCGGCCUAUCAGCUUGUUGGUGAGGUAAUGGCUCACCAAGGCGACGACGGGUAGCCGGCCUGAGAGGGCGACCGGCCACACUGGGACUGAGACACGGCCCAGACUCCUACGGGAGGCAGCAGUGGGGAAUAUUGCACAAUGGGCGAAAGCCUGAUGCAGCGACGCCGCGUGAGGGAUGACGGCCUUCGGGUUGUAAACCUCUUUCAGCAGGGAAGAAGCGAAAGUGACGGUACCUGCAGAAGAAGCGCCGGCU